GUGAGGAAUAUUGGUCAAUGGGCGGAAGCCUGAACCAGCCAUGCCGCGUGCAGGACGACGGCCCUACGGGUUGUAAACUGCUUUUCCGGGGGAAGAAUAACCCCCCUGCGGGGGGGGAUGCCGGUACCCCGGGAAUAAGGAUCGGCUAACUCCGUGCCAGCAGCCGCGGUAAUACGGAGGAUCCUAGCGUUAUCCGGAUUUACUGGGUUUAAAGGGUGCGUAGGCGGGCGCUUAAGUCCGCGGUGAAAGUCUGCGGCUCAACCGUAGGAGUGCCGUGGAUACUGGGGGUCUUGGAGUCGGUCGGGGCGGGCGGAAUGCGUGGUGUAGCGGUGAAAUGCAUAGAUAUCACGCAGAACGCCGAUAGCGAAGGCAGCUCGCCGGGCCGACAUCGACGCUGAGGCACGAAAGCGUGGGGAUCAAACA
RNAcentral lists this ribosomal RNA (423 nucleotides) under uncultured bacterium. RNAcentral's name for it is "bacterial SSU rRNA". It matches the Rfam family "Bacterial small subunit ribosomal RNA", at positions 354 to 774 of the family's 1533-position model. The record is from RNAcentral.